Molecule: non-coding RNA, 72 nt
Organism: Phrynosoma platyrhinos (Desert horned lizard)
Lineage: Eukaryota; Metazoa; Chordata; Lepidosauria; Squamata; Phrynosomatidae
Source: the annotation of a GenBank genome assembly
GCCUAUAUGGUUUAGUUGUUUGAGUGAUGGACUAUGACUCUGGAGAUCAGGGUUUGAUUCCCUGCUUGGCCA